GACGAACGCUGGCGGCGUGCUUAACACAUGCAAGUCGAACGGAAAGGCCCUGCUUUUGUGGGGUGCUCGAGUGGCGAACGGGUGAGUAACACGUGAGUAACCUGCCCUUGACUUUGGGAUAACUUCAGGAAACUGGGGCUAAUACCGGAUAGGAGCUCCUGCUGCAUGGUGGGGGUUGGAAAGUUUCGGCGGUUGGGGAUGGACUCGGGGCUUAUCAGCUUGUUGGUGGGGUAGUGGCUUACCAAGGCUUUGACGGGUAGCCGGCCUGAGAGGGUGACCGGCCACAAUAGGACUAAGAGACGGACCAGACUCCUACGGGAGGCAGCAGUGGGGAAUAUUGCACAACGGGCGGAAGCCUGAUGCAGCAACGCCGCGUGCGGGAUGACGGCCUUCGGGUUGUAAACCGCUUUCGCCUGUGACGAAGCGUGAGUGACGGUAAUGGGUAAAGAAGCACCGGCUAACUACGUG
Molecule: ribosomal RNA, 468 nt
Filed under: uncultured bacterium
Lineage: Bacteria
Description: partial 16S ribosomal RNA
Rfam family: Bacterial small subunit ribosomal RNA
Source: RNAcentral